UACGAAGGGUGCAAGCGUUAUCCGGAUUCAUUGGGUUUAAAGGGUGCGUAGGUGGGGCGUUAAGUCAGUGGUGAAAGCCCGCAGCUCAACUGUGGAAUUGCCAUUGAUACUGGCGCUCUUGAGUGCGCUUGAAGUAGGCGGAAUGUGCCGUGUAGCGGUGAAAUGCUUAGAUAUGGCACAGAACACCAAUUGCGAAGGCAGCUUACUAAGGCGAUACUGACGCUGAGGCACGAAAGCGUGGGGAUCAAACAGGAUUAGAAACCCCAGUAGUCC
RNAcentral lists this ribosomal RNA (273 nucleotides) under uncultured prokaryote. RNAcentral describes it as "partial 16S ribosomal RNA". It matches the Rfam family "Bacterial small subunit ribosomal RNA", at positions 524 to 796 of the family's 1533-position model. The record is from RNAcentral.